Penaeus indicus is the source of this 2088-nucleotide RNA transcript. It is a transcript of the gene named G-protein coupled receptor Mth2-like, with no coding region annotated. The transcript is spliced from 5 exons. The record is from RefSeq and is a predicted model, not a curated record. Lineage: Eukaryota; Metazoa; Arthropoda; Malacostraca; Decapoda; Penaeidae.
GGUGAACCUGUAUUUCUUUGUCCAUCUGAUGAUCCUUUUGGUGAAGCAGUUUCAAGAUAUAGACCAAGGCCUGCAGACUAAUAGAAGGCUGAAAGACAGGUACAAACUCUUUAUUCGUCUAUUUAUGGUGAUGGGAAUAGCUUGGUGUGUGGAGCUUUUCACACACACUGAUGAAUGCCAUUUCGGGGUAAUAUUGUGUGAAGUGGUCGUUGAGUUGCAAGGCCUCUGGAUCUUCCUCGUCUCUACCUGCGCCAAAAACAACCGUCGACUGGUAUGCUGCUGUUAAUGGUGACAGUAGUGAUAAUGAAUAUGCUGUAUGAUUCUGCGUCCCUGUGGCAACUUCAUAUCGCGAUUCAGUUUCGUAAGAGGAUGCGUGGAGAACAGACAAAGAACCACGAAGACCGAAAUGGACUCGGGUUCCACCAGUAAUACUACUGGUGUAAGAAAAUCAGUUUCAAGAAUUACAGGCAGUACGCAGCUACCAGAUGUCCCUUGUCCGCCAUGCAUAUCUAGUAAUGUGGAUAUAAUCAUUGUCAGGACGUUAUCGAAUCCCCCGACUUCAAAAGUUCAAGAGAAUUCGGAGCAGACAUCAGCUGUGACGAAUACUUCAUUGUCUGAAAAGGCUAUAAGCCUUACAAAUGCAUCUGAAGCAGACAUCUAACAACUUACACGUCAUCAGCAUAUUAACUUUCUUCCCUCGUAAUAUCCAGACAAUGGAAGUCUGACGAGACACGCUCCAUGUAGUGAAACGUAGAAAUCCCCACGCAUCUCGUAGGCUGGGUCACAAUGUCAUGUACUUAUACAUAAUGAGUAUUGAAACGACAGUUCGUUUCAAUACUAAAGCAAAACUAGUUAUCCAGAGCUUCUGUUGCAGGUGAAUGAUGUACAGUUACACAUUCAAUGACAAAAGUAACAGCUUUUUCCCGACGCUGCCAGACGCACAAGGACAUUACACAUAGAUGAGUAUCUAGUGCUCUAAUAACUCUAAUGAAUUGUCAUAGAUAUUCAUAGAUAUACAUUAUUACAAAUUCAACGUUGUAGUAAACAAAAACAAGCACAAGAAUAAACGUCGGCAGUUGUUUUGGGUAAGAUUCUCAGUUCGAUUUUAGGAUGAUUCCUCUUUGUGUUUUCUUAGUGGCUUGCGCUGCACCAGUUUAAUAGGUUAAAGUCAGAUUGGCUUAAAUAAACAAUCGUAGGUUAUUUAAGCGAUCAUUACUGUAUAAAAUGGCUAUUGCAGAAGUAUUUACAACCCUGUGGUUGUUUGUGAUUGCUUUCCAAGAACUUGCUUAUCAUCAGUUUCUGAAAAAAAUAUACCUUACGUAUAUUCAUCUACGCUUCUACUGAUUAUUCUUAUGAUACUUCUGGAUGAACUAGAACGAAAUCACCUGAUACUAGAUCCGAUAAGGAUAAGGAUAAGUCCGAUAUGCGAAGCUGAGCCUCGCCCGGGCUAUGGGGGAGCCCGGCCUGUGCCGACUAAUGUCGAUUCGCUAACAGUGUGUCAGCAGGUGCUUACUCGGAUGAGCUUAGUCCUUACCCACCGUGGUGCCCAGCCACGGCAGUAACCUCCAGGCGACAAUUGCAACUUCCGACCCCUCGGAUGAGAGGCCGACACGUUACCACUGUACUAGCCUGGAGGCUACUAGAUCCGAAGUGCCUUUCUGAAUUUGUUAAGAAUAAUCUGGCCAUUUCCUAAAAGGAACGUAUAUUAUUAUUAUUUUUUCAUUGAUCUCCAUAACCUUGCGACACUGUGUUUUAAAAUGGCGUUCUAGUAACCAGUUAUAUUGUGUGAAAGGUUUCGUAAUUCAAAAACACCAGUUUUGUAAUAUUAUGUAUAGAUAUUAAAUGCUAACUCAUCCAUUGUUUAUUUUUCUUUCUCUUUGUGGCAGUUUCAUUUCUUAUGCGGGAUAUGAGAAAGAGCAUCAGUGAAUCUCAAAUAAAAGUCAGUGAUAAUUCAGAAAAUGGAAUUCCGACUACUUCAAAAAUACAUGUAGUAUUCAAGUUGGUAUAGUAUAGUUAUACAAACAACUAACAACUCAACCCAAACUCUUUCGAGAAAGAAAAUGGUGGGUACUAAAAAGAAACACACAC